AUAUUUUGCUUGAUGUAGAAGAGUUUAUGAACGUAGAGGUAGUACAAGGUGUUUUGAUGCAAGUGAAGGGCCACCAUGUACCAGGAACACUCGUUGCUUACCAUCUAUACGAGUGAAAUUAGAAGGUAGAAGCUGGACCAGAAAUUGGUUAAAAGGCUAAACACUGCUAUCUUGGCUGCCAAAGCUUUGGCUGCUGACGCUGAGCAGAAGCAGUUUGGAAACGAACUCGUCAGGGAAUGGCUUGAUAAUCUCAAGGAUGCUCUCUACACUGCUGAUGAAAACUUGCUCAGUCAUGACCAAGACUGAAGUUAUAUUCAUCAUCUGUGUGUUUCCAAAUUAUAGUUUAUUAUUUUUCAUUACUAAUAUUUUGUGACUUU
Arachis duranensis is the source of this 377-nucleotide long non-coding RNA. RefSeq lists it as uncharacterized. The record is from RefSeq and is a predicted model, not a curated record. Lineage: Eukaryota; Viridiplantae; Streptophyta; Magnoliopsida; Fabales; Fabaceae. The transcript has 2 exons.